RNAcentral lists this ribosomal RNA (588 nucleotides) under uncultured bacterium. Its description in RNAcentral is "bacterial SSU rRNA". It matches the Rfam family "Bacterial small subunit ribosomal RNA", at positions 886 to 1482 of the family's 1533-position model. The record is from RNAcentral.
CCGCAAGGUUAAAACUCAAAUGAAUUGACGGGGACCCGCACAAGUAGUGGAGCAUGUGGUUUAAUUCGAAGAUACGCGCAGAACCUUACCAACACUUGACAUGUUCGUCGCGACUUUAAGAGAUUAGAGUUUUCGGUUCGGCCGGACGAAACACAGGUGCUGCAUGGCUGUCGUCAGCUCGUGUCGUGAGAUGUUGGGUUAAGUCCCGCAACGAGCGCAACCCUCACUUUUAGUUGCCACCAUUAAGUUGGGCACUCUGAAAGAACUGCCAGUGAUAAGCUGGAGGAAGGUGGGGAUGACGUCAAGUCCUCAUGGCCCUUACGUGUUGGGCUACACACGUGCUACAAUGGUAUCUACAACAGGAAGCAAGACUGCGAAGUUAAGCAAAUCCCUAAAAGAUACCUCAGUUCGGAUUGCACUCUGCAACUCGAGUGCAUGAAGCUGGAAUUACUAGUAAUCGUGGAUCAGCGUGCCACGGUGAAUGCGUUCCCGGGUCUUGUACACACCGCCCGUCACACCAUGGGAGUUGGUUCUACCUUAAGGCAAGGUUUCAAACCCUUGACCACGGUAUAGUCAGCGACUGGGGUG